Molecule: ribosomal RNA, 430 nt
Filed under: uncultured bacterium
Lineage: Bacteria
Description: bacterial SSU rRNA
Rfam family: Bacterial small subunit ribosomal RNA
Source: RNAcentral
GUGGGGAAUAUUGCACAAUGGGCGAAAGCCUGAUGCAGCAACGCCGCGUGAGGGACGACGGCCUUCGGGUUGUAAACCUCUUUUAGUAGGGAAGAAGCGAAAGUGACGGUACCUGCAGAAAAAGCACCGGCUAACUACGUGCCAGCAGCCGCGGUAAUACGUAGGGUGCAAGCGUUAUCCGGAAUUAUUGGGCGUAAAGAGCUCGUAGGCGGUCUGUCGCGUCUGCUGUGAAAACUGGAGGCUCAACCUCCAGCCUGCAGUGGGUACGGGCAGACUAGAGUGCGGUAGGGGAGAUUGGAAUUCCUGGUGUAGCGGUGGAAUGCGCAGAUAUCAGGAGGAACACCGAUGGCGAAGGCAGAUCUCUGGGCCGUAACUGACGCUGAGGAGCGAAAGCGUGGGGAGCGAACAGGAUUAGAUACCCCUGUAGUCC